This 634-nucleotide ribosomal RNA is filed under the name uncultured bacterium. Its description in RNAcentral is "bacterial SSU rRNA". It matches the Rfam family "Bacterial small subunit ribosomal RNA", at positions 9 to 655 of the family's 1533-position model. The record is from RNAcentral.
GAGUUUGAACCUGGCUCAGGAUGAACGCUGGCGGCGUGCCUAAUACAUGCAAGUCGAGCGAACCACUUCGGUGGUGAGCGGCGAACGGGUGAGUAACACGUAGGUGAUCUGCCCAUCAGACGGGGACAACGAUUGGAAACGAUCGCUAAUACCGGAUAGGACGAAAGUUUAAAGGUGCUUCUGGCACCGCUGAUGGAUGAGCCUGCGGCGCAUUAGCUAGUUGGUAGGGUAAAGGCCUACCAAGGCGACGAUGCGUAGCCGACCUGAGAGGGUGAACGGCCACACUGGGACUGAGACACGGCCCAGACUCCUACGGGAGGCAGCAGUAGGGAAUCUUCGGCAAUGGGCGAAAGCCUGACCGAGCAACGCCGCGUGAAUGAUGAAGGCCUUCGGGUUGUAAAAUUCUGUUAUAAGGGAGGAACGACUCUAGUAGGAAAUGGCUAGAGUGUGACGGUACCUUAUGAGAAAGCCACGGCUAACUACGUGCCAGCAGCCGCGGUAAUACGUAGGUGGCGAGCGUUAUCCGGAAUUAUUGGGCGUAAAGAGCGCGCAGGUGGUUGAUUAAGUCUGAUGUGAAAGCCCACGGCUUAACCGUGGAGGGUCAUUGGAAACUGGUCGACUUGAGUGCAGAAGA